CAAAUAUUUUCUCCGUUCUAAAAUUUUUGUCUUAAGUUUGUCUAGAAAAUGGAUGUAUCUAGAUACUAAAACAUGACUAAAUACAUUCAUAUCUAUACAAAUCUAAGACAAGAAUUUUAAAACGAAGGUAGUAACUA
This is a non-coding RNA of Hordeum vulgare subsp. vulgare (domesticated barley), 137 nucleotides long. The record is from Rfam. Lineage: Eukaryota; Viridiplantae; Streptophyta; Magnoliopsida; Poales; Poaceae.